Molecule: ribosomal RNA, 368 nt
Filed under: uncultured bacterium
Lineage: Bacteria
Description: bacterial SSU rRNA
Rfam family: Bacterial small subunit ribosomal RNA
Source: RNAcentral
AACGAACGCUGGCGGCAGGCCUAACACAUGCAAGUCGAACGCUCCGCAAGGGGAGUGGCGCACGGGUGAGUAACACGUGGGAACCUACCUUCUGGUACGGAACAACCAAGGGAAACUCUGGCUGAUACCGUAUACGACCUCCGGGUGAAAGAUUGAUCGCCGGAAGAGGGGCCCGCGUCCGAUUAGGUAGUUGGUGAGGUAACGGCUCACCAAGCCUGCGAUCGGUAGCUGGUCUGAGAGGANGACCAGCCACACUGGGACUGAGACACGGCCCAGACUCCUACGGGAGGCAGCAGUGGGGAAUAUUGGACAAUGGGCGCAAGCCUGAUCCAGCCAUGCCGCGUGAGUGAUGAAGGCCUUCGGUUGUU